This is a non-coding RNA of Phascolarctos cinereus (koala), 899 nucleotides long. NCBI's taxonomy places the organism in Eukaryota, Metazoa, Chordata, Mammalia, Diprotodontia, Phascolarctidae. The record is from RefSeq and is a predicted model, not a curated record.
UGGAAGCCUGGAAUGCUCUCUUCUCUACUUUUACCUCUUAAUUUCCCUUGAUUCCAUCAAGACUCCAUUCCAAUCCUACCUUUCCAAGAUCACCCAGGGACUCUAAAUUAUAUAAUAUGGGCAUCAGAUGAAAGAACAUGGAUGUUUCACCUAGAGAAGAGAGAAUGUAAUAAUUAUAUUACUUGAAGCCCCAAUUUCUGAAAGAGAAGUUGAUUUAUUUUAUGUAGCUCGGGAGAGUUGGUGGAAGGAGGUCAUAUAUAACACAGACACAUCUAGGAGUAAUACAAAGAAAAUCAUGGAGGGAGAUGGAUCUCACAAGGAAGAGGUGGCGUGGAUCAGGGAAGGAUCCUCAGAAAACAUGGUGCUUGGGCUGACCAUUGAAGAGACUCCACUCAUCAAAGAACACUGGUGAACCUCCCCAUCCCUUUGUGAUCUAGGCGAUCCUGAAGAAGCGAAACACACCAAGAAGAAGGAGGUUGGGGAGAGCCCUGGUGAAUCAAGACCCAUUAAGGAGGAGGCUGGGGGAGGGCCUUGCAAAGGAGAAGGUAUAUGAGGCAAGACCCUGUCAGUAGGGUGUCCUGUCUUCUGAAGGACCAAAGGAAUUCACUUAAAGCUAAAGCUCUAAGAAGUAGCUGGCUCCUUUUAUUUUUCUCUGCUCAAGGGGAAAAAAAUUGCACGUGUUUCCACUUGGUGAUCUUGAAUGCAUUAUGAAAUACUAAGAGGCUUGCUGGAACAGAGAAAGGAUGCAGUUGGCCAGUCUUCCUGAACAAGAGGUGUACUCGUGUCCCUUUUCAUUAUAGUUCUGGCUGUCACCUUCAGUCAUCUAAGCCUCUUCACUCCUGCCCACAGAUAAAAUCUUCCUCACAGCCCAUGCCAUUUGUGCAGACUAGUUACUUGGC